This is a long non-coding RNA of Helianthus annuus (common sunflower), 611 nucleotides long. RefSeq lists it as uncharacterized. The transcript is spliced from 4 exons. NCBI's taxonomy places the organism in Eukaryota, Viridiplantae, Streptophyta, Magnoliopsida, Asterales, Asteraceae. The record is from RefSeq and is a predicted model, not a curated record.
UCACACGGAUCCACCUUUCCCCUUCCUUCUAUCUCAUCUCUCUCACAACUCACAUCUCACCAGAUCUUUUCAACCUUCUCUCUCUCUCUCUGGCGACUCAAGCACAUGCCAACGAUUAGGGUUUUGGUAAGAACCCCCACCAUCAUGACUCUGAAAGCGGAUGCUUGUGGUGUUUGAUGUGUAAAUUGUUGAUUUGAACUUAACGUUCUAGGUUGUUGGUGUAUGAACAAGGACUCAUUGAACUACGGAGAUCAGAAGUAAUAUAGGGUUUGUCUUGACGAUCAUAUCAGAGGCCGGAUCUCUCUAUAUGACGCCAGAUCUGUGGUUGUGGGUGGAAGACGCUGACACAAGGCUUGGUUGGGGGUCAGAUUGGUACCGUUUUUACCCUAUCUUUUGAAGAUGAAGACCGAUGAACAGGUGAAAGAGAGAACACUGCGGCUUGGUUCAAGAACCUUCAAAUUCAGCCUUAGUGAAACCCAUAAUUCCUGCUAAUUUCUACAGAGGAGUUCGUGAUUCGCAGCUGAUCGGAUUAUCCGGUUACACAAAAGAGGGCCUUCUGGUUUUUGCUAUGGUGCAGGCCUCAGCACGUUUGACAAAGCAUUCGUAAGACU